UCUCCGGAGAAAGCGCUCACGUUCCUCAAACCACUGUUUGAUGGAGCACAGGCUGAGGGAAACCAAAAUCUCUCGUGUGGGAAGGCAUCAGAUCAUCAAGGUAACUAAGCUCCCGUUUGGAAAAACAGAAGUCCAGCAGCUUGCGGAUGAACACUAAUGCCAGGACCUGCAGGAAAUAAACACGCUCAUACUGUAUUAUUCUUAUGGUUCUUAAAACACUGCUCCACGUCACUAGGAAACACGAUUGCGGCAGGGGAAUGUUUAAUGACCCAGAGCAGCACAAGGCAGAGAUGAGACGCCCAUAUAAAGAAAAACACCAUAGAGAACCGGCAUGGGAAUGAACUGUGAAACAAAAAUAGGGUGCCAGACUCUAAUCUAAUCAUACAAGCAAAUGGGUCUAAAACAAGACACGUACAAACGGCACAAAAAGAGGAUACUUGUGGAUUAUGAAUGGGAGCAAAAUACUUUGAGGACUGAAGAAUCACGUUCAUCGUUGUAAGUUAAAGAGUUUUCACCUUGUGGGAAUGGGAACUUCAGUGAGUCCAGUCAGCAGUACAGCUGGAGACAAGCGAACAAAUGCAACGAUGGAUCUCUCUAAAAAGUCCAGCUCUCCAACCAGCACAUUGGAAGCUUCUGCUCCAGUAGGAAUCUUUUUCAUGAAAUGUGUGUCCACCUAUGGAGGAAGAUGGUCAUAGCGGUGUAAUUUGCAUACUGUUGCAACAUUUCGUAAAGGCUGUUACUCUAAAACAACUGCUGAAAUGGGAAGAAUAUUUUAUUUAUUUAUUUUCAAAAUUUGAAUAAAUUAAUAAUAAUAAUUAAUUCACAUCACAAAAUGCAGCUGCCAGAGUUCUUACCAGAUCUAGAAAAUAUGACCAUAUCACCCCAAUUUUAUCCUCCUUACACUGGCUGUCUGUUAAGUUUCGUAUUGAUUAUAAAAUAUUGCUUCUUACCUACAAAGCUUUAAAUAAUCUAACUCCUGUUUAUCUAACCAACCUUGGCUCACUACAAUCCAACCCGCUCUAUAGGAUCUAAAAACUCAGGGCUUCUGGUAGAAUCCAGGAUGGCAAAGUCUACUAAAAGAGGUCAGGCCUUCUCAUUUAUGGCUCUAUGGCUGGGACUCGUGGAGUGCGCAUCGAUGGAUUUCCUCGUCAGUGUUUGGAUUUUCAGCAGUAAAAUCUAAACCACACUGAACUGAACUAAACUGAACUUAAACUCUUAAAACUGGCAAAGUUUCAAUUCAUUAGAACAAUGUUAAGCUGCUUUGACACAAUCUACAUUGUAAAAGCGCUAAAUAAAUAAAUGUGAAUUUAAUUAAUUUAUGAAGGUAUAAAAAGCAGAACCACCCAACUAUCUGUAUCAGGAUUCACAGAUUUCAAUCUGAAUAAUCAAUUAUUGGUUUUGACUGAGACUGAGAUCUGUAAAAUCUAUUUCAGUUAUUUUUUCUUUUAAGUCAUCCAAUAGUUAUACUUUUUUUCAACCUUAUUUUAGUUAUAGAUGAAUAAUUAAUCUUGUGGUUGUUCUACUUACAAACUCCAGCUGUUCAUUUGGGUCAGGGUGACAGUUAUAGAUAAGACGAACAGCAGGUAUGUAAUCUGAUUGGGGAGUCUCUCUGCCAUCUUUACAGCCACUCUAAAUGGCUGACAUCUGCUUCAUUACAGCUAAUUUCCUGUUUUGAUAUGUGGCAUAACAUUACGCAAACAAGCUGCGGUAUCUAUACAGACCACCAGGUGGCAGUGCUUGUGUGUACGUGUGAGUGCGUUUGUCCCAGAUGUUCUUUGGUAAUCGAUACUCCAGUGGGCAGGCAGAACACAAACAGAAAUAAACAGAUUAAAGCUGUUUGGUUUAAUAGGUUGACAUAACACCAUCUUUCUUCUCAUGUGCUUUAAUAUAUAUAUUUUUAUCUUUCUAUUUCAUAGAUUAUUUAUUCGUCUGCUUCCCCUAAAACAGGAUGCAUUAUUUGUUUUAUUAGGCUUUUAAAUGAUUUUUUUCAUUAUGAUUGUAACCAUAAAUUUCUCUGUCUGAAUUUGCUAAACACAUUAUGCAUUUUGAUCAUUCUUGAGAUUGUGCCAUUUGUAAUUCACACAAACCUAUGAAUGUCUCUUUUGCUAUGGUUAAUUUCUAUUUUUUUUAAAUGUAAAAAAAAUAAACUUCAGUUC
RNAcentral lists this long non-coding RNA (2156 nucleotides) under Danio rerio (zebrafish). RNAcentral's name for it is "si:dkey-28n18.7 (ENSDARG00000097645.2)". The record is from RNAcentral. Lineage: Eukaryota; Metazoa; Chordata; Actinopteri; Cypriniformes; Danionidae.